Molecule: ribosomal RNA, 497 nt
Filed under: uncultured bacterium
Lineage: Bacteria
Description: partial 16S ribosomal RNA
Rfam family: Bacterial small subunit ribosomal RNA
Source: RNAcentral
GAUGAACGCUGGGGGCGUGCCUAAUACAUGCAAGUCGAGCGAACAGAUGAGGAGCUUGCUCCUCUGACGUUAGCGGCGGACGGGUGAGUAACACGUGUAUAACCUACCUAUAAGACUGGGAUAACUUCGGGAAACCGGAUCUAAUACCGGAUAAUAUAUUGAACCGCAUGGUUCAAUAGUGAAAGACGGUUUUGCUGUCACUUAUAGAUGGAUCCGCGCCGCAUUAGCUAGUUGGUAAGGUAACGGCUUACCAAGGCAACGAUGCGUAGCCGACCUGAGAGGGUGAUCAGCCACACUGGAACUGAGACACGGACCAGACUCCUACGGGAGGCAGCAGUAGGGAAUCUUCCGCAAUGGGCGAAAGCCUGACGGAGCAAAGCCGCGUGAGGGAUGAAGGUCUUAGGAUCGUAAAACUCUGUUAUUAGGGAAGAAAAAAUGUGUAAGUAACUAUGCACGUAUUGACGGUACCUAAUCAGAAAGCCACGGCUAACUACGUG